RNAcentral lists this transfer RNA (76 nucleotides) under Caudoviricetes sp. Its description in RNAcentral is "tRNA-Ile". It matches the Rfam family "tRNA". From Rfam's summary of the family: Transfer RNA (tRNA) molecules are approximately 80 nucleotides in length. Their secondary structure includes four short double-helical elements and three loops (D, anti-codon, and T loops). Further hydrogen bonds mediate the characteristic L-shaped molecular structure. tRNAs have two regions of fundamental functional importance: the anti-codon, which is responsible for specific mRNA codon recognition, and the 3' end, to which the tRNAs corresponding amino acid is attached (by aminoacyl-tRNA synthetases). tRNAs cope with the degeneracy of the genetic code in two manners: having more than one tRNA (with a specific anti-codon) for a particular amino acid; and 'wobble' base-pairing, i.e. permitting non-standard base-pairing at the 3rd anti-codon position. Lineage: Duplodnaviria; Heunggongvirae; Uroviricota; Caudoviricetes. The record is from RNAcentral.
GGGGAAGUAACUCAGCGGUGAGAGUGGGGUUCUUAUAAAGCUCUGGUGGAAGGUUCAACUCUUUCUUUCCCUACCA